Molecule: ribosomal RNA, 460 nt
Filed under: uncultured bacterium
Lineage: Bacteria
Description: partial 16S ribosomal RNA
Rfam family: Bacterial small subunit ribosomal RNA
Source: RNAcentral
CCUACGGGAGGCAGCAGUGAGGAAUAUUGGGCAAUGGGCGCAAGCCUGAACCAGCAAAGCAGCGUGAAGGAUGACUGCCCUAGGGGUGGUAAACUUCUUUUAUAUGGGAAUAAAGUGCAGUAUGUAUACUGCUAUGCAUGUACCUUAUGAAUAAGGAUCGGCUAACUCCGUGCCAGCAGCCGCGGUAAUACGGAGGAUCCGAGCGUUAUCCGGAUUUAUUGGGUUUAAAGGGAGCGUAGGCGGGUUGUUAAGUCAGUUGUGAAAGUUUGCGGCUCAACCGUAAAAUUGCAGUUGAUACUGGCAUCCUUGAGUACAGUAGAGGUAGGCGGAAUUCGUGGUGUAGCGGUGGAAUGCUUAGAUAUCACGAAGAACUCCGAUUGCGAAGGCAGCCUGCUGGACUGUAACUGACGCUGAUGCUCGAAAGUGUGGGUAUCAAACAGGAUUAGAUACCCGAGUAGUC